This 352-nucleotide ribosomal RNA is filed under the name uncultured Mycobacterium sp. Its description in RNAcentral is "bacterial SSU rRNA". It matches the Rfam family "Bacterial small subunit ribosomal RNA", at positions 524 to 871 of the family's 1533-position model. The record is from RNAcentral. Lineage: Bacteria; Bacillati; Actinomycetota; Actinomycetes; Mycobacteriales; Mycobacteriaceae.
UACGUAGGGUGCGAGCGUUGUCCGGAAUUACUGGGCGUAAAGAGCUCGUAGGUGGUUUGUCGCGUUGUUCGUGAAACCUCACGGCUUAACUGUGAGCGUGCGGGCGAUACGGGCAGACUAGAGUACUGCAGGGGAGACUGGAAUUCCUGGUGUAGCGGUGGAAUGCGCAGAUAUCAGGAGGAACACCGGUGGCGAAGGCGGGUCUCUGGGCAGUAACUGACGCUGAGGAGCGAAAGCGUGGGGAGCGAACAGGAUUAGAGUACCCUGGUAGUCCACGCCGUAAACGGUGGGUACUAGGUGUGGGUUUCCUUCCCUUGGGAUCCGUGCCGUAGCUAACGCAUUAAGUACCCCG